Molecule: non-coding RNA, 1934 nt
Organism: Meleagris gallopavo (turkey)
Lineage: Eukaryota; Metazoa; Chordata; Aves; Galliformes; Phasianidae
Source: RefSeq, a predicted model, not a curated record
GGUCUGCACCGGAGGGCGGUGGGCAUGGAACAGAAUGCCCAGGGCUGUGGGCACGGCCCUGAAUGCUGGAGUUCAACGAGUGUCAGCCUCCAUUGUGAUCUUCGGGUGGAGUGUUUGUGUGGCAAUGGCUCAUGAGACACCGUGCAUGGGACUUCUUCAGGCGUUCAGAGUUGGGCUGGUUGUGGAAGUACUGAAGUACGUUGCUGAGAGGGGUAGGCAAGACAUUAGCCAAUGAAAUGUUUUACCAAGUGUUUUGCAGUUAUUUGAACAGUUGAAGUUCACUUCACAACAUUUGUAUGUGCUAGCACAUGUCCUAUCCACUGCAAGAAGACUUCAGAAGAAUUGCUGCGUUCAUUUAGCCUUCUUCCUUCCCUCCAAGUUCACACCCACCACACCAUGUCAGUUUCUUCAUGCUGUGGCUGUGCAAAGAGGCUUGAAAAUAUGCAGCACGUAUACUCCAGAGGCUCAACAGCUUGACAGCAAAUAAAAAGAAUUAUGGUUUGAAAACAUAUACGUUGGGUUUUUAAAGAGUCACGUUAGGGGGGAAGAGGGCAGCAGACAGAUGAAUUUCAAAUAUUUGUGGUUGACUGGUCUGAGCACCUUACCCCACGUACUGCUUAUUUGUGUCACAGGAACUCUGUCUAGACAGGCAAGUACAGCAUGUUUGAAAAGGUGUUAAAUAAUGUAUUAACAUGAACUUUACAUUUUGCUAUAAAUAGAGUUGAAAUGUUUUUCAACUUAAAUAAUCAGCCUUAACAUCCUGAUGCUUUUGCCACUCUUGCCCCUACAACGUAAGCUUUUUUAGGGAUUAACUGAUCAAAGACAUACUGGAACAUCAUCUGGUUUACCCAAGUGGAUCUUGCAGAUUGUUGAGAAAAUAUACUAAGGGAAUUGGCUGUGACUGCUGAGCAGGUUUUGGGUGGUUAGUCUUGGGUCGGAGAGGCCAUCAAGAUAUGUCUGUCUUCAGCGGGUCCAGGACAAGAGUUAUGCAGAAGCUUUCUGCAUCCACAGCACCUGAAGACUUGAUUCCCCAUCAACUUGCACAUUCACUACUGCUACAUUCCUGCUUACUGAGACAACUGACAGAAGGAUUUAUGUACUACUUAAAUUGUAUUGGAAAUGUCAAAACACAGCUUGAUGUUCUUGGUGUCAAUAGGUGCAUUUGUCAUGGACUGCUUUUUCCUCCUAGUUCUUACGAAGUAAGAAGCAGUAGUACCUAGUAAUCAAAGAUAUAAAAUACAUUUAUUAUCUAGACCAACCUACUGUAGGAACUGGAGUCUGUGAAUACAAGAAUUGUACAAGAUGCCAGAAUACCAUUCAGCUCUAUAAUUAAGUGCUUUUACCUGGGGCUUGUCCUUACUUAAAAACAAACAGGACUCUUGCUGGUAAAAAUGUCAAGACGAGUCUGCUAGAAGAAGUAAGCGUUUUCUACCUGUCAUGAAUACUAAAAAUAUAGAAAGUUACGGAAGAAAUGUGUUUUGGGCUGUAAAGGUUCCGUAGAAAAAGGUAGCUCAAACGCAGCAUUAAAAAGGGGAAGAUUCGAUCAGAUGAAAAAUUGAAAGAAGGACCACUUCUUGGAAUCAGUUGACUGGAAGUAGAUACAGUGAUACUGGUUUGAGAUAGAUGAGGUGAAUGUGGCUUUCUGGAUAUAACUAUGCAUAUAGUACCUAUUAGUAUGGUCUUGUCUGAGUGGACAGAGAUGUCACUGGCAUAGAGUAGGGUACCCUAGGCUUGGUUUCUUUAGGGUUUUGUGCACUGAGGUCCUCCACAGCUUCCCUGCUAUAGCAAGCCUGUGUGAUACAUGUAUUGAGCGUCUGCUCCUUUCCAAGAGAACAUGGUCCUUGGUGUGAUGCUUUCUGCUUCAGAAGCGUAUAUUCAGUCUGUAUUGCCAUUCUGGGUGUGCACUGGUGCUUCUCAACAGGCAUGUAGUUUUC